RNAcentral lists this ribosomal RNA (325 nucleotides) under uncultured bacterium. RNAcentral's name for it is "bacterial SSU rRNA". It matches the Rfam family "Bacterial small subunit ribosomal RNA", at positions 355 to 697 of the family's 1533-position model. The record is from RNAcentral.
UGGGGAAUAUUGGACAAUGGGGGAAACCCUGAUCCAGCAAUGCCGCGUGAGUGAAGAAGGCCUUAGGGUUGUAAAGCUCUUUCGCCCGCGAAGAUAAUGACGGUAGCGGGAGAAGAAGCCCCGGCUAACUCCGUGCCAGCAGCCGCGGUAAUACGGAGGGGGCUAGCGUUGUUCGGAAUUACUGGGCGUAAAGCGUACGUAGGCGGAUGCGCAAGUUGGGGGUGAAAUCCCGGGGCUUAACCUCGGAAUUGCCCUCAAAACUGCACGUCUUGAGACCGAGAGAGGAAAGGAGAAUUCCUAGUGUAGAGGUGAAAUUCGUAGAUAU